RNAcentral lists this ribosomal RNA (380 nucleotides) under Plasmodium caprae. RNAcentral's name for it is "bacterial SSU rRNA". It matches the Rfam family "Eukaryotic small subunit ribosomal RNA", at positions 881 to 1217 of the family's 1831-position model. The record is from RNAcentral. Lineage: Eukaryota; Apicomplexa; Aconoidasida; Haemosporida; Plasmodiidae.
UUUGGGGACAUUUGUAUUCAGAUGUCAGAGGUGAAAUUCUUAGAUUUUCUGGAGACAAACAACUGCGAAAGCAUUUGUCUAAAAUACUUCCAUUAAUCAAGAACGAAAGUUAAGGGAGUGAAGACGAUCAGAUACCGUCGUAAUCUUAACCAUAAACUAUGCCAACUAGGUGUUGGAUGAUUAUAUAAAUGAUAUUAUUAAAUUAUUAUUUUUAUAAUAUUUAUUAAUAUCGAAUUAGUCUUUCAGUACCUUAUGAGAAAUCAAAGUCUUUGGGUUCUGGGGCGAGUAUUCGCGCAAGCGAGAAAGUUAAAAGAAUUGACGGAAGGGCACCACCAGGCGUGGAGCUUGCGGCUUAAUUUGACUCAACACGGGAAAACUCA